This 233-nucleotide unclassified non-coding RNA is filed under the name uncultured fungus. RNAcentral describes it as "sequence contains ITS1". Lineage: Eukaryota; Fungi. The record is from RNAcentral.
GUAUUGAUUAUUUUUAUGGCUCAAAGAGCCAACAAAGCAUUCAUAGGUAAAUAUAUACAGUUGUGUGUGAAACAAAAUGCAGGCCCAGGUUUCCCCAAGCCCACAGGAGGUUGCACAGGUGUAUAGGAGGAAUUAAGGGAGGAGUGUGCACAGAUGCCCCCAAAAGGGCCAGCAGCAAAGCCUCCCCCCCAAAAUUUCAUUUAAUGAUCCUUCCGCAGGUUCACCUACGGAAA